CGGGACACGUGGUAUCCUGUCUGAAUAUGGGGGGACCAUCCUCCAAGGCUAAAUACUCCUGACUGACCGAUAGUGAACCAGUACCGUGAGGGAAAGGCGAAAAGAACCCCGGCGAGGGGAGUGAAAAAGAACCUGAAACCGUGUACGUACAAGCAGUGGGAGCACGCUUAGGCGUGUGACUGCGUACCUUUUGUAUAAUGGGUCAGCGACUUAUAUUCUGUAGCAAGGUUAACCGAAUAGGGGAGCCGAAGGGAAACCGAGUCUUAACUGGGCGUUAAGUUGCAGGGUAUAGACCCGAAACCCGGUGAUCUAGCCAUGGGCAGGUUGAAGGUUGGGUAACACUAACUGGAGGACCGAACCGACUAAUGUUGAAAAAUUAGCGGAUGACUUGUGGCUGGGGGUGAAAGGCCAAUCAAACCGGGAGAUAGCUGGUUCUCC
This 438-nucleotide ribosomal RNA is filed under the name Escherichia coli. RNAcentral describes it as "partial 23S ribosomal RNA". It matches the Rfam family "Bacterial large subunit ribosomal RNA", at positions 418 to 858 of the family's 2925-position model. Lineage: Bacteria; Pseudomonadati; Pseudomonadota; Gammaproteobacteria; Enterobacterales; Enterobacteriaceae. The record is from RNAcentral.